AAGUCGUAACAAGGUUUCCGUAGGUGAACCUGCGGAAGGAUCAUUACUGAGCGCGAAGCCACGCAGGACGCUUGUCCUGCGCGGCUGACCCUCCACCCGUGUGAACUGAAUUUGUUGCUUUGGCGGGCCGGGCUCGACCUACCGGCUCCGGCUGGGGAGUGCCCGCCAGAGAAGCCCCAACUCGUGCAGCUAGUGCAGUCUGAGAAAAACUUAAUAAGUAAAA
This 223-nucleotide unclassified non-coding RNA is filed under the name plant metagenome. Its description in RNAcentral is "partial contains small subunit ribosomal RNA and internal transcribed spacer 1". The stretch from base 1 to 46 matches the Rfam family "Eukaryotic small subunit ribosomal RNA", at positions 1786 to 1831 of the family's 1831-position model. The record is from RNAcentral.